GCUUGCCAUAACAAAGAGAUUGAAUAGUUAUUGAAUGAAGACAAUUCAACUUGACAUUUUGUAUUAAUUUGUAAAUAUGAAAUAUAAAAAACACAUAGUUCCACUUUGACAUUAUUGUGUGUAGGCCAGUGAGACAAAAAUGAACAUUUAAUCCAUUUAGAAUUCAGGCUGUAACGUAACAUAAUGCAGAAAAAGUCAAGGGGUGUGAAUACUUUCUGAAGGCACUGUACAUAAGUGGAGGCUGGUGGGAGGAGCUUUAGGAGGACAUGUUCAUAGUAAUAGCUGGAAUGGAAUUAGUGAAUGGUAUAAAACAGAUGAAACAUUUGGAACCAACAUAUUUGACUCUGUUCUUUUGAUUCCACUCCAACCAUUACAAGGAGCCUGUGCUCCUAUAGCUCGUCCCACCAGCCUCCACUGCUCCACAUGUAUAUUAUAUGAUAAUAGUCUAUUGUGUAUAAAUUUGUUGUGCAUUUUUACUGAAUUAAAUAUACUUUGAUGUAAGUUGUCUAACACUUUUGUGGCUUAUUUGUUGUUUUAAUGUAUGUGGAAAGGUAAAUGAAAUAGAAAGGUAAAUGAAAUAGAAAGGUAAAUGAAAUAGAAAGGUAAAUGAAAUAGAAAGGUAAAUGAAAUAGAAAGGUAAAUGAAAUAGAAAGGUAAAUGAAAUAGAAAGGUAAAUGAAAUAGAAAGGUAAAUGAAAUAGAAAGGUUAAUGAAAUAGAAAGGUAAAUGAAAUAGAAAGGUAAAUGAAAUAGAAAGGUAAAUGAAAUAGAAAGGUAAAUGAAAUAGAAAGGUAAAUGAAAUAGAAAGGUAAAUUACAUUUUUACUUCCUCCCAAAAACACUUUGAAAGGUCAGAUUCCCUGCAUGCUCUCUGAUCACUUGCCUCCUUCUUCCUGCUUCUUGUCUAUCCUCCAGAAUGCAACUUUUAAAUUGGGAGCUAAUGUUUCUUUGUAGGUUUUCUUCAAGCUUGGUUUGAAGCCGUAGAGAGAUUCCCCUAGUUCAGCAUAUUUCCCGCUUUGUAAUAUUGAUUGCCCUUGUGGUUCUCUGAAGCCAUCUGUCAUAAGGUGUGUGUUUGUGUGUGUGUGUUGUGUGUGUGUGUAUGUGUGUGCACGCAUGUGGGUUUGUGUGUGUUUCUGCAUACAAAACAGCUUGCCUCAAAAGUGUGUGUGAUGGAACCCAAGGAUUUAGGAGCCAAUCAGAGGGCUGCUUCAUCCACAUUAGUGCUCACCCCUCUUUCUGUGCAUCCUGUCUUGCUUUAGUCUCUCUCUGCAGAAGCCAACACAUCUCAGGCCAGCACACUCAGACAUCAGGCUAACAAAGUUAUGGUGAACUCAAUGGACUUUUAACAAGUCCUAAAAAUAUAGAAAACCUUAGAGUCCACCCUGUCUUAUUUGUGUCUGUGCAUCAGUACUUCUGCGUGUGGAUAUCAGUUACAUAUGGUUCAGAAGGCUGCAAUGAUAAAGUCAUAGGUAUGACCUUAGAUGACUCGCAUACUCUUACUCACCCUCUCCAUCUCUGUAAUACUGCAGGUAGGCUCCGGUGUACUGCAGGCCUGUAUCCCAAAUGGCACCCUAUUCCUUAUAUUGUGCACUAUUUUGAACAAAGCCCUGGUGAAAUAUAGUGGACCCUAUAGGGAAUAGGAUGCCAUUGGGACACAGGUCAGCUCACCUCCCAGAGCCCCUACGUCUCACAGCUGUAGCGGGGCUAGAAAGGUGCUGUGAUACUCCAGGGUUAGCUAAGAGGGAAGGAUGUAGAUAGGUGAUUGUUUCUCUUCUCUUCUUCUUGUUCUUGUCACCUGCCCCUGCAUUUCACUAAUUUACUUCAUUAGAACAACAAACCUGAUAAAAUGCUCAUUAGGACACAACUUCAG
Long non-coding RNA from Oncorhynchus keta (chum salmon), 1867 nucleotides. RefSeq lists it as uncharacterized. The transcript is spliced from 3 exons. The record is from RefSeq and is a predicted model, not a curated record. Lineage: Eukaryota; Metazoa; Chordata; Actinopteri; Salmoniformes; Salmonidae.